UGCAGUCGAGCGAACAGAUAGGAGCUUGCUCCUUUGACGUUAGCGGCGGACGGGUGAGUAACACGUGGGUAACCUACCUAUAAGACUGGAAUAACUCCGGGAAACCGGGGCUAAUGCCGGAUAACAUUUAGAACCGCAUGGUUCUAAAGUGAAAGAUGGUUUUGCUAUCACUUAUAGAUGGACCCGCGCCGUAUUAGCUAGUUGGUAAGGUAACGGCUUACCAAGGCAACGAUACGUAGCCGACCUGAGAGGGUGAUCGGCCACACUGGAACUGAGACACGGUCCAGACUCCUACGGGAGGCAGCAGUAGGGAAUCUUCCGCAAUGGGCGAAAGCCUGACGGAGCAACGCCGCGUGAGUGAUGAAGGUCUUCGGAUCGUAAAACUCUGUUAUUAGGGAAGAACAAAUGUGUAAGUAACUAUGCACGUCUUGACGGUACCUAAUCAGAAAGCCACGGCUAACUACGUGCCAGCAGCCGCGGUAAUACGUAGGUGGCAAGCGUUAUCCGGAAUUAUUGGGCGUAAAGCGCGCGUAGGCGGUUUCUUAAGUCUGAUGUGAAAGCCCACGGCUCAACCGUGGAGGGUCAUUGGAAACUGGGAAACUUGAGUGCAGAAGAGGAAAGUGGAAUUCCAUGUGUAGCGGUGAAAUGCGCAGAGAUAUGGAGGAACACCAGUGGCGAAGGCGACUUUCUGGUCUGUAACUGACGCUGAUGUGCGAAAGCGUGGGGAUCAAACAGGAUUAGAUACCCUGGUAGUCCACGCCGUAAACGAUGAGUGCUAAGUGUUUAGGGGGGUUUCCGCCCCUUAGUGCUGCAGCUAACGCAUUAAGCACUCCGCCCGGGGGAGUACGACCGCAAGGUUGAAACUCAAAGGAAUUGACGGGGACCCGCACAAGCGGUGGAACCAGGUGGUUUAAUUCGAAGCAACGCGAAGAACCUUACCAAAUCUUGACAUCCUUUGACAACUCUAGAGAUAGAGCCUUCCCCUUCGG
This 989-nucleotide ribosomal RNA is filed under the name Staphylococcus sp. NCCP-2414. Its description in RNAcentral is "bacterial SSU rRNA". It matches the Rfam family "Bacterial small subunit ribosomal RNA", at positions 56 to 1024 of the family's 1533-position model. The record is from RNAcentral. Lineage: Bacteria; Bacillati; Bacillota; Bacilli; Caryophanales; Staphylococcaceae.